AUGCCCUGUGAUUAUAAAAAGACGCGUUAUUCUGAGGAGCAUACCUGCUCUCUGUCUCUGCUACUCUCCCAUCUUCUUCUUUGUUUAUUCUUUCUUCACUCUUCCUCUUUUAUUUUCUUUUCUUUUACAUCCUUAUCCUUCUGCCUCUUGCAGCAGGUCCGCUGACUGCAAUUUUGAGAUAUGAGGGCAU
This 190-nucleotide small nucleolar RNA is filed under the name Oryzias javanicus (javanese ricefish). Its description in RNAcentral is "Small nucleolar RNA SNORD97 (ENSOJAG00000007741.1)". It matches the Rfam family "Small nucleolar RNA SNORD97". The record is from Rfam by way of RNAcentral. Lineage: Eukaryota; Metazoa; Chordata; Actinopteri; Beloniformes; Adrianichthyidae.